RNAcentral lists this non-coding RNA (23 nucleotides) under Arabidopsis thaliana (thale cress). Lineage: Eukaryota; Viridiplantae; Streptophyta; Magnoliopsida; Brassicales; Brassicaceae. The record is from RNAcentral.
GGGUAAGGAGCCGAAUCGACGCC